Molecule: non-coding RNA, 160 nt
Filed under: Capsicum annuum
Lineage: Eukaryota; Viridiplantae; Streptophyta; Magnoliopsida; Solanales; Solanaceae
Description: Bacterial large subunit ribosomal RNA
Rfam family: Bacterial large subunit ribosomal RNA
Source: Rfam by way of RNAcentral
GAUAAUAAGCUAAUCUUCCCUAAGAGCUCAUAUCAAUGGGAAGGUUUGGCCCCUAGAUGUUAGCUCUUUGCCACCUGGGGUUGUAGUAUGGUCCAAGGGUUGGGUUGUUCUCCCAUUAAAGUGGUACGUGAGCUGGGUUUAGAAUAUUGUGAGAUGGUUU